AGUGAACGCUGGCGGUAGGCCUAACACAUGCAAGUCGAACGGCAGCACAGUAAGAGCUUGCUCUUACGGGUGGCGAGUGGCGGACGGGUGAGGAAUACAUCGGAAUCUACUUUUUCGCGGGGGAUAACGUAGGGAAACUUACGCUAAUACCGCAUACGACCUACGGGUGAAAGCAGGGGAUCUUCGGACCUUGCGCGAUUGAAUGAGCCGAUGUCGGAUUAGCUAGUUGGCGGGGUAAAGGCCCACCAAGGCGACGAUCCGUAGCUGGUCUGAGAGGAUGAUCAGCCACACUGGAACUGAGACACGGUCCAGACUCCUACGGGAGGCAGCAGUGGGGAAUAUUGGACAAUGGGCGCAAGCCUGAUCCAGCCAUACCGCGUGGGUGAAGAAGGCCUUCGGGUCGUAAAGCCCUUUUGUUGGGAAAGAAAAGCAGCAGGUUAAUACCCCGCUGUUCUGACGGUACCCAAAGAAUAAGCACCGGCUAACUUCGUG
Molecule: ribosomal RNA, 492 nt
Filed under: uncultured bacterium
Lineage: Bacteria
Description: partial 16S ribosomal RNA
Rfam family: Bacterial small subunit ribosomal RNA
Source: RNAcentral